GACGAACGCUGGCGGCGUGCUUAACACAUGCAAGUCGAACGGAAAGGCCCUGCUUUUGUGGGGUUCUCGAGUGGCGAACGGGUGAGUAACACGUGAGUAACCUGCCCUUGACUUUGGGAUAACUUCAGGAAACUGGGGCUAAUACCGGAUCGGAGCUCCUGCUGCAUGGUGGGGGUUGGAAAGUUUCGGCGGUUGGGGAUGGACUCGCGGCUUAUCAGCUUGUUGGUGGGGUAGUGGCUUACCAAGGCUUUGACGGGUAGCCGGCCUGAGAGGGUGACCGGCCACAUUGGGACUGAGAUACGGCCCAGACUCCUACGGGAGGCAGCAGUGGGGAAUAUUGCACAAUGGGCGGAAGCCUGAUGCAGCAACGCCGCGUGCGGGAUGACGGCCUUCGGGUUGUAAACCGCUUUCGCCUGUGACGAAGCGUGAGUGACGGUAAUGGGUAAAGAAGCACCGGCUAACUACGUG
RNAcentral lists this ribosomal RNA (468 nucleotides) under uncultured bacterium. Its description in RNAcentral is "partial 16S ribosomal RNA". It matches the Rfam family "Bacterial small subunit ribosomal RNA", at positions 28 to 507 of the family's 1533-position model. The record is from RNAcentral.